GAAACUUGAAAGCAAAAAUAAAAUUAAAUAGUUUUGAUAAUGAAGAGCACAUUCUUGAAGUUUUUGUUAUUAGUUACUGUUUUAGUCGGUGUCUUCCGACAAAACUAUGCAGUAGGAAGUUAUUGUACUAAAGACAGUGACUGCAAGUUAGUAUGCAUACCACCGUAUGCUUGCAGCUUGACCCGUCACGUUUGUAUGUGUCAUCCUAACGAUAACAAUUCUUCUAAAGAACGUUUUAUUCCAGAACAUAAAGGUUUUGGUAAGAAAAAACUUCCAUAUCAUCAAUUGAAAAUAUAAUGACAAAAAUGGAUAUACAUGUUCUGAAAAAAAUGUUAUUAUAAAAUAAAUGUAAUAUUACUUUUUAAGAUAUCAAAUCGUAAACUACUUAAUUAA
This is a long non-coding RNA of Capsella rubella, 393 nucleotides long. RefSeq lists it as uncharacterized. The transcript is spliced from 2 exons. NCBI's taxonomy places the organism in Eukaryota, Viridiplantae, Streptophyta, Magnoliopsida, Brassicales, Brassicaceae. The record is from RefSeq and is a predicted model, not a curated record.